AUUGAACGCUGGCGGCAGGCCUAACACAUGCAAGUCGAGCGGAUGAAGGGAGCUUGCUCCUGGAUUCAGCGGCGGGCGGGUGAGUAAUGCCUAGGAAUCUGCCUGGUAGUGGGGGAUAACGUCCGGAAACGGGCGCUAAUACCGCAUACGUCCUGAGGGAGAAAGUGGGGGAUCUUCGGACCGCACGCUAUCAGAUGAGCCUAGGUCGGAUUAGCUAGUUGGUGGGGUAAAGGCCUACCAAGGCGACGAUCCGUAACUGGUCUGAGAGGAUGAUCAGUCACACUGGAACUGAGACACGGUACAGACUCCUACGGGAGGCAGCAGUGGGGAAUAUUGGACAAUGGGCGAAAGCCUGAUCCAGCCAUGCCGCGUGUGUGAAGAAGGUCUUCGGAUUGUAAAGCACUUUAAGUUGGGAGGAAGGGCAGUAAGUUAAUACCUUGCUGUUUUGACGUUACCAACAGAAUAAGCACCGGCUAACUUCGUG
This 484-nucleotide ribosomal RNA is filed under the name uncultured bacterium. RNAcentral describes it as "partial 16S ribosomal RNA". It matches the Rfam family "Bacterial small subunit ribosomal RNA", at positions 30 to 507 of the family's 1533-position model. The record is from RNAcentral.